GGGAUGUUGAAAGAGAAAGCCUGGCACACACACACUGGCUGGAAUCUGCAAGCCUCCCUCAGCCUCGGCUGGAAGGAAAAUCUGCAAAGAUGCAAACAAUCCUUGGGUGUUCAGUUAGCAUUGCCUUGAAGCAGCCUAAUCCAGUAAACCAGUUCAGUGUACAAAAUGGGAAAGCGGAAGGCUGGUACCCAGCUGUAAACAUCAUGAAGGAUGUGGCGGGAGGGCGGCUUUCCCCCUUUAGGAGCUGUACAUACAUUAAUCACUGAAUCACCAAGCCAUGCUUAAUUGCAAGCUGUAUAUCACACAAAUCCACGGAAUGCAGAAAAGGUAUUACACCACUAAUUACAGCCCACACCGGCCCCUCCAUCUCAGCUGCCUGGAAGAGGAAACGGAACUCUCUCAGAUCUGCAAAUCCCCAGCCAGCCCUGGCUUCUGCCUCAUUGCUACUAAGUGACUUUUAUAAGAUGCUUCUCCUCCCCCCCAACCCCCUCACCCCCAUCUUUCCUCCCUUCCCUUCCUGGGAAAAGUGUGUAGAAAUCCAUUACUCCUUGAGAGUUUACAGAACUGUUUAAAUGAUAAAGAAAAAAAAAACCUUGCAGUAUAUUUUGCUUUGACAAAAUUAUUGAUUUAAAUCCCAUACAAUAGCACAAUACUAUUUAAAGGUCAACCCAAGAAAAAUGAGUUUACACCCGAACAGAGCCGAGCUUAUCUGUCAUGAAAGUGUAAUGAUGUGUUUAUUCCCUCACUAGAGUGUAUAUAUUUUUCAGGAAGAUAUAACAGUCUACUUGCAGGUGAAAUCUGCUCUUAAAUGGGAAUUUCAGGAGAUAUUUACAUUUCAGAUGGUGGGGCUGAGAUCCUGUAGCCCUGAGACCCAUUUUUGUACUUAAUAGUCAGGUGAGUAUUUAUUUUCAUCGCCUCCAAAUUAUUCUUCUCACUCUCGGGUCAAAAAUGAGAUACACAGAUGAAUACUAUAACCACAACUCAUACAGAAAUCUCUUAAGAAGCCUAAAGCUAAAACAGAAUGCAAAGGUACCACUGUAUCUGCCUAUCUUGCAUUCUGGAUUUGUUUUGACAUUUCAAAAAUAUGGCACAAAAU
Long non-coding RNA from Marmota monax (woodchuck), 1096 nucleotides. RefSeq lists it as uncharacterized. The record is from RefSeq and is a predicted model, not a curated record. NCBI's taxonomy places the organism in Eukaryota, Metazoa, Chordata, Mammalia, Rodentia, Sciuridae. The transcript is spliced from 4 exons.